UUGAUCUCAAACCAUUGCUCUCAUUUUGAUAAAGUGAAUAUAAUAUUUUAUCGCGUGUAAAUAAAAAUUCCCCAGAAACCAAAUCAAGUUAUGGUAUGGAACAACAAUUGAAUUAGCAUAUUAUAGCCACAGGAAUGAGUUGUGGCAUCAAUUAUCUUCAAGUUGUUGCUCAAGGUGCUCGUUUUCUUUUUUGAUGGCGUCGAGAUCAGCUUGCAGUUUAUCUACAUUUAAGCUCCGGAAGGCCAUGGCUGUUAGUUUCUUUUCAUAUUCAGCCACUUCUCUUUGUAUUCUGUCACUCAUGAGGAUUUUCUCAGAAAUUUGUUCAAAGCACUCAUGUAUGCUAGUGAGAAGCCUAUAAGCUUGGCGUCCUACUGGGUCUUUCUUUGCUUCCCUGAAUAUCAUUUCAUCCAGAACAGCAUAGGUUCUAUCGAGGCAUUCUCGUAUAGAGUUGCUUUCUAACUGAAGCUCUCUGGUUUCUUUUAAAAUCCGCUCUAUGUCAGCAUCCUGUUUUCGACUGUUUUUCGUGAUCUCCUUUAUCCGCUCGAUAUAGGAUGUUCUAGUUGGCAGUUUAGGCAGCUUCCCAAGAUCCACACAAAGUUUCGAAUGUUCCUCCUCCCGCCUCCUAAGUUCAGACAAGAUGGACUGCUUUUCCGGCUCAACUUCCCUCAACUUUUGUAGCUUCUCUUGAGCCUCUGGUAUGUUUGCAUAAAGAGACUCCUCUAGGGUUCUCUUUUUCUCCUCCAGAGGCGUUUUGAAAGCAUCCCACUUUGACUCCAAUUCCACAAUAUUAAACUUUUUGGAAUCUACUUGCUUGUUAAGCAGCUCAAGGUAAAAUUCAAUAGGGUGGUGAUCAUCAAAUGCCAUUUCUGCUGCGUCCUUUAACAACUCCAACUCUUGUUCAAGUUUCUGUAAUUCUGAAUUCCUUGCAGCCACCUCCUUCAUGAGAACUUUUUCUUCAUCUUGUAAUAUUUCACUCUCACGUCUCAUCUUGGAUGACUGGUCCCUAGCAGGAUUCGCUUUCUGAAAUGCAUCUCUUCGUGAAUUCCCUUCUGCAGCCAAAAGGUUUCCAAUUCCAACAAAAGCCAAUUUGUCCUUGCCAAAAUUUGUUGUCCUUAACCCACUGAAGGACGUGUCUUCAACCUUGGAAUCAGACAACUUUGAUUCUACAUUAUGAAGACUAAGAUCCUUGAAUUUUUCCUGGUUAUGGUUAAGAUCUAACCCUCUGUCAUCAGCUUUCUCCAUCCAGUCCUCCAAAUUAUCAGUAGAGCCCUCCUCUUUUAUUUUCCUUCUGCAAUUUGCAUCCUUCAGAUCAGGGAAUUUAACAUCAACAGAUGACUCAGAAAGCCUUUCCACUAAGAAUCUCACCAACUUAAACAAGUCCUCUUCUGAUGGAUACAGGAACUGCCGUAAGCAAGACAUAUAAUCUUAUAAUAGGUCAUGUCUCCAAGGUAACCGAGUCUCUUAAUAGCUAAAGCCAUAUCCGUACAGAUCUUGAAUUUAUCGACCAAGGAGUCGGGGAAAGAUGAAGGCAACGACGCCGUUUCAUCGAGGAGGUUAAGAGACUGAGCACAGAUCGAGACCAAAGUUGCCGGCGUCAAGUCUUGGACCGAUGCAACGUUGCUUGGGAUUGAAACGCCGGCGUUCUGGAGCGACUUCAACAACACAUCCUCGUACUCCUCCAUAAGGACUCCUCUCUCUCGAUGGAAAGGUUCUCUCUUUUUGCGUUGUUUUCUGCGUUUUCGUCCUCCGCUAUGUUUCGACCGAUCAGUGAUUGAUUAGCUUAGCUAACACCCAUUCAAGACUCCAAAGUCGAAACUCUGUGACUCCGAUACGUAUUGGAGAGAAAUAGUAGCGUGCGACCGCGACAUGCUAUCGCUUGCUUUCCGUCCUGUUAUCGCUGGCCACGUGGCAACAGGAGCUGGAUUUCUUUUUUGGACUUUAGAAAUGUUCAGAAAUUGGAUUCUAAUAUUACUGUUUAGUAUACUAUUUUCCUUAUAUAUGUUAAAAUUC
This 2010-nucleotide unclassified non-coding RNA is filed under the name Hevea brasiliensis (rubber tree). Lineage: Eukaryota; Viridiplantae; Streptophyta; Magnoliopsida; Malpighiales; Euphorbiaceae. The record is from RNAcentral.